RNAcentral lists this long non-coding RNA (339 nucleotides) under Homo sapiens (human). RNAcentral describes it as "HSALNT0342516". The record is from RNAcentral. Lineage: Eukaryota; Metazoa; Chordata; Mammalia; Primates; Hominidae.
GGCUCUGACUGACUCCUUCCCAGAUCUUUUCGGCUUAGCGGCUGAAGACUGACGCUGCCCGAUCACCUCGGAAGCCUCCUGGACUAUCACAGACGCUUUGGGUAACUCUUACAGUGGAGGACAAGAAUGUCAGGCCUCUGAGCCCAGAGUAAGCCAUCGUAUCCCCAGUGACCUGCACGUGUACAUCCAGAUGGCCUGAAACAACUGAAGAUCCACAGAAGUGAAAACAGCCUUAACUGAUGACACUCUACCAUUGUGAUUUGUUUCUGUCCUACCCUAACAAAUCAAUGUACUUUAUAAUCUCCCCCACCCUUAAGAAGUUUCUUUGUAAUUCUCUCC